CCCUUCCCUUCCCUUCCCUUCCCCACACAGAGGCCACAUGUGCCUGCCUGUCCCCAUGAGUCAGGACUGAUGUGGCCUGAUUAACCUCUCUGAGAUAGCUCCCCCUGCAUUCUUCUCAUUCUCAGUCCUGUUCAUUACUGUUAUUUAAUCUGUUUUAACUUUAACCAGAUGCUACUCUCCAUCACAACUUUCACGGUCCUGUUCUCUCCUUUGCUGAUUGGUGCUUACAUUUGUACAGGAGGAAUGCUAUCUUCCUUCUCUGGCAACUUCUUUGUUUAGCACACCUGUUGGUCAAGACUAUUCACAUCCAUUUGCUUCUCAGGCUCUAUAGAGACUACAUAUAAGUCCAAAGUGAGGUGACAAAGUCAUCAUAAUGUGGCCUGUUUGCUUCAAGUCAGAUAUUGAGGAAGUUCUGAUAUGCAGCCACCAGAAACUUCCGUUAUCAGAGGAAGGAACCUCAGCUUUCAUUAAAAACCUUAACAUUGGCUUCUGACAGCUUGUACAAAUAUAUCAUCUAAAUAUGUUUGACUUUUGUAGUAACCUGAACCUAAAUGUUCAUACUGCAGAAGCUGAAACUGCACUUUCUCAGUGUUCAGGCACCAAGUUUGGAAGAGGAAGUGCUUUGUCUUUCGAUUAAAAAUAUCCAAACAGCUCCGUGGAGUCAUGAUCUGAGAAACCAAAACAAGUCCUUAACCAUAGAUAAAUGAAGGUUGGCUGAUUCCAGUUUGCAGAAAGCCAGAGGAAGCCCUCUGCUCUGACCCCGCGCCCUCUAGCAUCACAGCUGGUGCACGAGCACAAAGACAACUUGGAUGUAGAUGCUGCUGUGGGCACUUUACACAGGAUAGAUUGUAAAUUUGUCCAUUUAUGAGUGUCCUGCGGGGGUUCCCACCAACUCAGAAGACAAAGCAAGGGUUGAAGCAAACAAAGAAUAUCCAUAAAAGCUCCUCUGAUUGCCACUAUUAAUAAAAUGGAGGCCAUAAACAAA
This is a long non-coding RNA of Anas platyrhynchos (mallard), 985 nucleotides long. RefSeq lists it as uncharacterized. The record is from RefSeq and is a predicted model, not a curated record. Lineage: Eukaryota; Metazoa; Chordata; Aves; Anseriformes; Anatidae.